RNAcentral lists this ribosomal RNA (489 nucleotides) under uncultured bacterium. RNAcentral describes it as "partial 16S ribosomal RNA". It matches the Rfam family "Bacterial small subunit ribosomal RNA", at positions 28 to 507 of the family's 1533-position model. The record is from RNAcentral.
GAUGAACGCUAGCGGCAGGCUUAAUACAUGCAAGUCGAGGGGCAGCAGGACUGUAGCAAUACAGUUGCUGGCGACCGGCAAACGGGUGCGGAACACGUACGCAACCUACCCAAAACUGGGGGAUAGCCCGGGGAAACCCGGAUUAAUACCUCGUAACCUUUUUAAGUGGCAUCACUUGAUAAGUAUAGCUCCGGCGGUUUUGGAUGGGCGUGCGCCUGAUUAGGUAGUUGGUGCGGGUAACGGCCCACCAAGCCUGCGAUCAGUAACUGGCGUGAGAGCACGACCAGUCACACGGGCACUGAGACACGGGCCCGACUCCUACGGGAGGCAGCAGUAAGGAAUAUUGGUCAAUGGACGCAAGUCUGAACCAGCCAUGCCGCGUGAAGGAUGAAGGUCCUCUGGAUUGUAAACUUCUUUUAUGGGGGACGAAACCCGGAUAUUCUUAUCCGAUUGACGGUACCUCAGGAAUAAGCACCGGCUAACUCCGUG